Molecule: long non-coding RNA, 414 nt
Filed under: Androctonus crassicauda
Lineage: Eukaryota; Metazoa; Arthropoda; Arachnida; Scorpiones; Buthidae
Source: RNAcentral
CACUUACAAAGAAGUUUUAAACAAAGCUUUAUUUAAACAAUAAUAAAGCACAAAACAAGUUAGCAAUAAAAAUUGUUUAAUCAAAAUUCCAAAAAUCCAAAACAACACUAAAUAUAACCUUAAAUAAUAAUUAAAUCUACUACCUCCACUCUCUGAUAUGAACUCAAGUAAUUGUCGAUCUUAUAAGAAAAUGAAAAGUCACAAAUCAGCUCACUGCAAUACAACACACCUCUCUGUGUCAUUUAACACACACAUUUUUAUAGUAGUGAUUUUUACAGUGCCGAGUUUAUCUCAUUUACAUAAAAGUUGUGCAACAAGUUCAAGUUUCUUAGUUUACAGAAUAAUCAAUUCAUGUCAUCAUCUUUACAAUUAAUUAUGUACUGAAUAUAAAACAUCGAUCCGAGAUCAUUCUUU